GGGGGUUAAAUUAAUUAAUUUUAUUUAAUAAAAAAAUUUUUAAUAGUUUUUAUAUAAGUUUAAGUAUUUUUUAGGGGAAAAAUUUUAAAUUUUAUAGUGUAUUAGUAUUGUAAAAUAAUUUUUAAAUAAGUGAAAAUUAAAUUUAAUUAAAAGUAAUUUUUAUUUAGUGUAUCUUGUGUAUCAGAGUUUAUUAAUUAAUAUUUUAAGGGAAAAAUUUCUCGAAUUAAAAAGAGUUAUUUGAUUAUAAAAUUUAUUAUAGCAUAAAUAUUUUUAAUAAUUAAAUUGAAAUGAAAUGUUAAUCGUUUUUUAAGAUAUCUAGUUUUUUUAGAAAAAAAUUUAAUUUUAAAUUUUAAAAAUUAUUUAAUUUUUUUUUUAAUUUUUUAUUUUAAUAUUUUAAUAUUUUAAGGGAUAAGCUUUAAAAUAAAUUUUUAUAAAAAUUAUUAUAUUUUUUAAUAAUUUUAUAAUUUAUAUUGUUUAAUAAAUUUUAGUUUAUUAUAAAUAAUUUUAAUUAAAGAAAAAUUUAAUUUUUUUUUAAUUUUUUAUAAAAAUAAUAAGUUUAAAUUAAUUAUAUUUAGUUAUAAUGAUAAAAUUAGUAUAUUAUUUAUAAUUAGAUUUUAUUUAUGUUUAAUUUAUUUUUAAGGAAUUCGGCAAAUAUUUAUAUUCACCUGUUUAUCAAAAACAUGUCUUUUUGUUAAUAAUUUAAAGUCUAAUCUGCCCACUGAUAAUUUAUUAAAGGGCUGCAGUAUUUUGACUGUACAAAGGUAGCAUAAUCAUUAGUCUCUUAAUUGGUGACUUGUAUGAACGAUUGGAUGAAAUAUAAACUGUCUUAUAUAUUAUUAUAUAGAAUUUAAUUUUUUUAUUAAAAAGUAAAAAUAUUAAUAAAAGACGAGAAGACCCUAUAGAGUUUGAUUGAUUUAAAAUUUAAUGAUUAUAUAUUAGAUAAAAAUUAAAAAUUUUAAUUUAAUUUUGUUGGGGUGAUAAAAAAAUUAAAUAAACUUUUUUUUUAUAUUUUUCAUUGAUAGCUGAAUUUUUGAUCCAUUUUUAUUGAUUAUAAGAAAAAAUUACCUUAGGGAUAACAGCGUAAUUUUUUUUUUUAGUUCAAAUAAAAAAGAAAGUUUGCGACCUCGAUGUUGGAUUAAGAUAAAAUUUAAAUGAAAAAGUUUAAAAUUUUGAUCUGUUCGAUCAUUAAAAUCUUACAUGAUCUGAGUUCAAACCGGUGUAAGCCAGGUUGGUUUCUAUCUUUAUUUUUAUAAAAUAUUUUAGUACGAAAGGAUCAAAUAUUUAAAAUAAUUUUUAUUUAGUUGAAUUUUAUUAAUUUUAUUUUAAAUAUAAUUUUAUUAUUUAAUUAAUUUAAUUAUAUAUAUAUAUAUAUAUAUUAUUUGUAUAAAU
This 1389-nucleotide ribosomal RNA is filed under the name Neurosymploca concinna. Its description in RNAcentral is "16S ribosomal RNA". Lineage: Eukaryota; Metazoa; Arthropoda; Insecta; Lepidoptera; Zygaenidae. The record is from RNAcentral.